GAGUUUGAUCCUGGCUCAGGAUGAACGCUGGCGGCGUGCUUAACACAUGCAAGUCGAACGGGAAACCUUUUAUUGAAGCUUCGGCAGAUUUAGAUUGUUUCUAGUGGCGGACGGGUGAGUAACGCGUGGGUAACCUGCCUUAUACAGGGGGAUAACAGUCAGAAAUGACUGCUAAUACCGCAUAAGCGCACAGAGCUGCAUGGCUCAGUGUGAAAAACUCCGGUGGUAUAAGAUGGACCCGCGUUGGAUUAGCUAGUUGGCAGGGUAACGGCCUACCAAGGCGACGAUCCAUAGCCGGCCUGAGAGGGUGAACGGCCACAUUGGGACUGAGACACGUCCCAGACUCCUACGGGAGGCAGCAGUGGGGAAUAUUGGGCAAUGAGCGAAAGCCUGACCCAGCAACGCCGCGUGAGGGAAGAAGUAUCUCGGUAUGUAAAGCUCUAUCAGCAGGGAAGAUAAUGACGGUACCUGACUAAGAAGCCCCGGCUAACUACGUGCCAGCCGCCGCGGUAAUAC
RNAcentral lists this ribosomal RNA (516 nucleotides) under uncultured bacterium. Its description in RNAcentral is "bacterial SSU rRNA". It matches the Rfam family "Bacterial small subunit ribosomal RNA", at positions 9 to 526 of the family's 1533-position model. The record is from RNAcentral.